This 263-nucleotide ribosomal RNA is filed under the name uncultured bacterium. RNAcentral's name for it is "partial 16S ribosomal RNA". The record is from RNAcentral.
CUGCUGCCUCCCGUAGGAGUUUGGGCCGUGUCUCAGUCCCAAUGUGGCCGUUCACCCUCUCAGGCCGGCUACUGAUCGUCGCCUUGGUGGGCCGUUACCCCUCCAACCAGCUAAUCAGACGCGGGUCCAUCUUACACCACCGGAGUUUUUCACACAAAUCCAUGCGGCUUCGUGCGCUUAUGCGGUAUUAGCACCUAUUUCUAAGUGUUAUCCCCCAGUGUAAGGCAGGUUACCCACGCGUUACUCACCCGUCCGCCACUAAG